RNAcentral lists this ribosomal RNA (472 nucleotides) under uncultured organism. RNAcentral describes it as "partial 16S ribosomal RNA". It matches the Rfam family "Bacterial small subunit ribosomal RNA", at positions 335 to 798 of the family's 1533-position model. The record is from RNAcentral.
ACUCCUGCGGGAGGCAGCAGUGGGGAAUUUUGGACAAUGGGCGAAAGCCUGAUCCAGCAAUGCCGCGUGAGUGAAGAAGGCCUUCGGGUUGUAAAGCUCUUUUGUCAGGGAAGAAACGGUGAAAGCUAAUAUCUUUUGCUAAUGACGGUACCUGAAGAAUAAGCACCGGCUAACUACGUGCCAGCAGCCGCGGUAAUACGUAGGGUGCAAGCGUUAAUCGGAAUUACUGGGCGUAAAGCGUGCGCAGGCGGUUUUGUAAGUCUGAUGUGAAAUCCCCGGGCUCAACCUGGGAAUUGCAUUGGAGACUGCAAGGCUAGAAUCUGGCAGAGGGGGGUAGAAUUCCACGUGUAGCAGUGAAAUGCGUAGAUAUGUGGAGGAACACCGAUGGCGAAGGCAGCCCCCUGGGUCAAGAUUGACGCUCAUGCACGAAAGCGUGGGGAGCAAACAGGAUUAGAAACCCGAGUAGUCCCAU